Molecule: ribosomal RNA, 254 nt
Filed under: uncultured bacterium
Lineage: Bacteria
Description: partial 16S ribosomal RNA
Rfam family: Bacterial small subunit ribosomal RNA
Source: RNAcentral
UACAGAGGGUGCGAGCGUUAAUCGGAAUUACUGGGCGUAAAGCGUGCGUAGACGGCUAUCUAAGUCGGGUGUGAAAGCCCCGGGCUCAACCUGGGAAUUGCAUUCGAGACUGAAUAGCUAGGGUACGGUAGAGGGAAGUGGAAUUUCCGGUGUAGCGGUGAAAUGCGUAGAUAUCGGAAGGAACAUCAGUGGCGAAAGCGACUUCCUGGACCAGUACCGACGUUCAGGCACGAAAGCGUGGGGAGCAAACAGGA